This 403-nucleotide ribosomal RNA is filed under the name uncultured Thermomicrobia bacterium. RNAcentral's name for it is "bacterial SSU rRNA". It matches the Rfam family "Bacterial small subunit ribosomal RNA", at positions 353 to 772 of the family's 1533-position model. Lineage: Bacteria; Pseudomonadati; Thermomicrobiota; Thermomicrobia. The record is from RNAcentral.
AGCAAGGAAUUUUCCGCAAUGGGCGCAAGCCUGACGGAGCAACGCCGCGUGCGGGAGGACGCCCUUCGGGGUGUAAACCGCUUUUCUUGGGGACGACGAGCGACGGUACCCGAGGAAGAAGGACCGGCUAACUACGUGCCAGCAGCCGCGGUAAUACGUAGGGUCCGAGCGUUGUCCGGAGUUACUGGGCGUAAAGCGCGCGCAGGCGGCUCGGCAAGCAUGGCGUGAAAGCCCCCGGCUCAACCGGGGAGAGUCGUCGUGGACUGCCGGGCUUGAGGGCGGCAGGGGCUGGUGGAAUUCCCGGUGUAGUGGUGAAAUGCGUAGAGAUCGGGAGGAACACCCGUGGCGAAGGCGGCCAGCUGGGCCGGCCCUGACGCUGAGGCGCGAAGGCGUGGGGAGCGAA